UUCAUCCUCCUCUUCCUCACUCUCAAAUUUCGAUUUUUUGGUGAAUUUUUGGGUCAUUUUUUGCCUUUUUUCCUCCAUUUUUACUGUUUUUUUCCCAGUUUUUUUGCGUGGAUCUUCCUCAUCUUCCUCCUCUUCUUCAUCCUCCUCUUCCUCACUCUCAAAUUUCGAUUUUUUGCCCAAUUUUUGGGUCAUUUUUUGCCUUUUUUCCUCAUUUUUCCCCGUUUUUUUCCGGUUUUUUCGGUCUGGCUCUUCCUCCUCCUCUUCCUCCUCCUCACUCUCAAUUUUCCUCCUUUUCCCCCCCAAUUUUUCCCAUUUUCCCCCUUUUUCCUCCUCAGUUUUCCCAAAUUUCCCAGAUUUUUCCCCAAUUUUCCCUUUACUCACCCCAAUUUUCCCCCUCUCCCCUUCCUCUUCCUCCUCAUCUUCCUCACUCUCAAUUUUCCCCCUUUUUUCCCCAUUUUUCCCCAUUUUUUCCUCAUUUUUCCCCCCGAAUU
Molecule: long non-coding RNA, 491 nt
Filed under: Lonchura striata (white-rumped munia)
Lineage: Eukaryota; Metazoa; Chordata; Aves; Passeriformes; Estrildidae
Description: domestica (Bengalese finch) lncRNA (ENSLSDG00000000601.1)
Source: RNAcentral